This 292-nucleotide ribosomal RNA is filed under the name uncultured Thermoplasma sp. Its description in RNAcentral is "partial 16S ribosomal RNA". It matches the Rfam family "Archaeal small subunit ribosomal RNA", at positions 455 to 747 of the family's 1478-position model. The record is from RNAcentral. Lineage: Archaea; Methanobacteriati; Thermoplasmatota; Thermoplasmata; Thermoplasmatales; Thermoplasmataceae.
GUGUCAGCAGCCGCGGUAACACCCGCAGCUCGAGUGGUGGUCACUUUUAUUGAGCCUAAAGCGUUUGUAGCCGGAUCUGUAAAUCUCCAGGCAAAUUCCUUCGCUUAACGAAGGAUCUUCUGGAGAGACUGCAGAUCUAGGGACCGGGUGAGGUUGAAUGUACUUCCGGGGUAGGGGCUAAAUCCUGUAAUCCUGGAAGGACGACCGGUGGCGAAGGCGUUCAACUAGAACGGAUCCGACGGUGAGGAACGAGGGCUAGGGGAGCAAACCGGAUUAGAUACCCCCGUAGUCC